GAAGAGAGAGUUAAAUAGUACGUGAAAUGAGAGAGGUGGAGACGGAGAGAGUUGAUGUAUGUGUCAUGCUGUCAGCCGUUGCGUAUAGCGCUCGUACGGUGUGCCGCGCGCGAUCCGUGGAUCGUUGUGGGAGUAGUGCCAUAAUAGUCAGGAGUCGUGCGUAUCGGUGCACUUGCAUGUCGUGUGCGCCGGAGCGCAUGCGUUGGUCGUUCGGCCCUGGGGUAAGAGGAUGCGCGCUUCGGCGUGUAAAACCGGACCCUUGUUUUAUAUAGUGUGCCGGGCGGUUCGGCGUAUGCGCGCGCGCAUAUGUGAAUGUGGGGCGUUUUUUAGGCGUUGGCGGGUAUCAUUCGUCUCUAGGGGCGCAUGGCGGUCGCUUGCGACACGUGUGCGUCUCGGUUUCGAUGGUUGGCGCGCGCUCCCUCUCUGUGUCUUGUUCACUCCGGUGUAAAAGUCGAUCAUCUAUCCGACCCGUCUUGAAACACGGCCCAAGGAGUUUAACGUAUCCGCGAGUCAAUGGGCAUUUAAAACCCAAAGGCGUAAUGAAAGUGAAAGUGCUCUUUUGAAGUGAUUGAUAUGCGAUCCGCGGCACCACGGUGCUGCCGGCGCAGCAUAGCCCCGUUCCCGUCGCUUGCGAUGGAGCGGAGGAAGAGCGUAUGCGUUGAGACCCGAAAGAUGGUGAACUAUGCCUGAGCAGGACGAAGUCAGAGGAAACUCUGAUGGAGAGUCCGUAAUCGAUUCUGACGUGCAAAUCGGAUCGUCGUGACUGGUAUA
RNAcentral lists this ribosomal RNA (771 nucleotides) under Spilotylenchus sp. EIK-2013. Its description in RNAcentral is "eukaryotic LSU rRNA". It matches the Rfam family "Eukaryotic large subunit ribosomal RNA", at positions 378 to 919 of the family's 3401-position model. Lineage: Eukaryota; Metazoa; Nematoda; Chromadorea; Rhabditida; Parasitylenchidae. The record is from RNAcentral.